AUUGAACGCUGGCGGCAGGCUUAACACAUGCAAGUCGAGCGGAGAGAGGUAGCUUGCUACUGAUCUUAGCGGCGGACGGGUGAGUAAUGCUUAGGAAUCUGCCUAUUAGUGGGGGACAACAUUUCGAAAGGAAUGCUAAUACCGCAUACGUCCUACGGGAGGAAGCAGGGGAUCUUCGGACCUUGCGCUAAUAGAUGAGCCUAAGUCGGAUUAGCUAGUUGGUGGGGUAAAGGCCUACCAAGGCGACGAUCUGUAGCGGGUCUGAGGGGAUGAACGGCCACACGGGGACUGAGACACGGCCCAGACUCCUACGGGAGGCAGCAGUGGGGAAUAUUGGACAAUGGGCGCAAGCCUGAUCCAGCCAUGCCGCGUGUGUGAAGAAGGCCUUAUGGUUGUAAAGCACUUUAAGCGAGGAGGAGGCUACUUUAGUUAAUACCUAGAGAUAGUGGACGUUACUCGCAGAAUAAGCACCGGCUAACUCUGUGCCAGCCGCCGCUGUAA
Molecule: ribosomal RNA, 501 nt
Filed under: uncultured bacterium
Lineage: Bacteria
Description: partial 16S ribosomal RNA
Rfam family: Bacterial small subunit ribosomal RNA
Source: RNAcentral